UUCAUUUGCAUUCUGGCCUUGCCUGCAGGUGCAGUUGGAAACUCUUGCUAAGUGAUAGAGAGGCUUUGGAAAGCCUGGGAUCAGGAAGCUGAAAGAGCUGGAAAACUGCAUUUGGAGGUUCAAACUAAAGCAGGAUUGCAUCUGGAAGUGAUUUGUAACAGAAGAAAUGGAGUAGAAUACAGGCAGCACUUGCAGCACUGCUUUCAAAAUUCCUCAGUAUUUCUAGAGGAGUUUUGAACAACAACCUAUUCAAGAAACUUGGUGCUCAAAAUUUCCUGGGCUGGAGGAAAGAUGUCUUGAUGGGGUUAAGGAAUGGGUUUGUGUCCCAAGAAGCUGUUACACUUAAGUAAGUCUUCCAGAGGUGUGGAUGCCUGGCUAAGCAAGCAGCAAGUCUGAACCAGCAAGGAAUGCAGCCCAAGCUUCUGGCUUCAGGCAAUGAAGAGGCUGAUAAGAAAACUCGGGAAUGCAAGUACCAGAGUGCCUGGUGCGCCAGGACAAGGAUAUUGUGAGGAAGCUGCUGCUAUUUUCAUGAUGUUUUCCUUCAGCUGAGGUGCCCUCAGGAGCUCCAGUGCUUGGAUGUCUGCCGAGGGGUUUCUCACUGCAGCUUCUCACAUCAAGUUCUGCUUGGGAACCUGGCUUUUUCUGCCAGCAGAAGUUACUCCGUCUCCCUCAGUCUACAGGCUGACCUCCAAAGAUGCCCAGGGUCUGGAAAUGUGCCUUAUCACAGAUUACUCCCCUGAGAAGCUCACUGUGAACUCGGCUGAGCAGCACACAUCUGCUGUGGUGGGGGUGGCAACUGCAGACAACGGCGAGGAGUCCAGCUACCUGUCCACCUACUGGGCCAGGAGGGAUCAGCUGCACUGUGGGGCCAGCCACGAGGGCUUUGGAGAGCUGGAGGGAGAGGACCCUGAGAGUGGUGCCAGUGCUGUCUGUGUCACGGGGCUGUCCCUACACUUCAGGACAGAUGAACACCUGAACACCCUCUCUUUGUCACAGCUGGGCCUCAAAAUCGUUUUAAUGAAAGCAAUCAUUUUUAAUGUGCUGAUGACAGUGCUUAUGUGGAAGAAAAAAAAAGGACUGAGAGGAGCCAGGUGGAGCAGUCCUGAAGUACCAAACCCAUCUGCUUUGAGAGAGCAUCGUGAGCAAGAGGGAGCUCAGGGAUAUUCCUUGUGCAAGGGACACCCCUUGCUGUUCUCAUACAUCACUCCAGCCAUUAUAUUCUGAAUUGCUUUAUUUGCAUUGCUAUAAAACUACUCAAAAUGAAACAUUUCCAGCAUUCUGCCCUCCAGAUGUCUGGAUCAUUCACCAUACAGUGCCUCUUUUGCAUGAAGCACACUUUGCUAUAAUUGUACGUUGCCAAGUUCUGACUUCCAUUAAAAUGAUGACUUCUGCCUGGAGCAGUGCUGUGUGUUAAAAACUGCAAGCUAAAUACCAUCUGAAUGGGAAUUUGUCCCCUAUUUUGGUAGCUUUAGGAUAUUCAUAUCUCUUAGGGUGCACCCCAGAAGCCUUUUCAGGUGCAAAUGAAACAUUUUGAAAAGCAAAGGGAGACUGACUCCGGAUGCCCUGUCCUGUCACCCUUUGCUAGAUCAGAGCAAGAUAUCCCUUUUUAUCCCUAAAGGAUGAGCUGCAGGUCUCCCAGAAGUCCCAAAUUUAGUGGAAUUGUCACUUCAAUAUCACAGAAACAAAAUUUCAAAGAUUUUUUAAUUCUAUUUGACCACAGCACCUUCUUAAUUUAAACCAGUUUAAGAUUUGGCUUUGUAUUCAGUAAAAAUACAAACCACUUUUGUUCUUUUUGUUUACUUCUAGCAACCUGAGAUCUCCCAAGUCCUUUUUGUAACAAUUGCAUAAAAAUGUACUGAAAUAUUCACCUGCCCACCUUGGAACUCUGCUUGCCUGUGGCAUCUGCAUGCUGCUAAUUCAUGAACUGUCCUGCCACCCACAAGAAGUCUUGGCACUUCUUUAGACUGUUAUCAAACAAUUUUUACCAAAAAUGA
Molecule: non-coding RNA, 1994 nt
Organism: Motacilla alba alba
Lineage: Eukaryota; Metazoa; Chordata; Aves; Passeriformes; Motacillidae
Source: the annotation of a RefSeq genome assembly